RNAcentral lists this transfer RNA (88 nucleotides) under Gammaproteobacteria bacterium. RNAcentral describes it as "tRNA-Ser". It matches the Rfam family "tRNA". From Rfam's summary of the family: Transfer RNA (tRNA) molecules are approximately 80 nucleotides in length. Their secondary structure includes four short double-helical elements and three loops (D, anti-codon, and T loops). Further hydrogen bonds mediate the characteristic L-shaped molecular structure. tRNAs have two regions of fundamental functional importance: the anti-codon, which is responsible for specific mRNA codon recognition, and the 3' end, to which the tRNAs corresponding amino acid is attached (by aminoacyl-tRNA synthetases). tRNAs cope with the degeneracy of the genetic code in two manners: having more than one tRNA (with a specific anti-codon) for a particular amino acid; and 'wobble' base-pairing, i.e. permitting non-standard base-pairing at the 3rd anti-codon position. The record is from RNAcentral. Lineage: Bacteria; Pseudomonadati; Pseudomonadota; Gammaproteobacteria.
GGUGGGGUGGCCGAGUGGUCGAAGGCGCACGCCUGGAAAGUGUGUAUACGGAAACGUAUCGAGGGUUCGAAUCCCUCCCCCACCGCCA